GACGAACGCUGGCGGUGUGCUUAACACAUGCAAGUCGACCGGAAAGGCCCUGCUUUUGUGGGGUGCUCGAGUGGCGAACGGGUGAGUAACACGUGAGUAACCUGCACUUGACUUUGGGAUAACUUCAGGAAACUGGGGCUAAUACCGGAUAGGAGCUCCUGCUGCAUGGUGGGGGUUGGAAAGUUUCGGCGGUUGGGGAUGGACUAGCGGCUUAUCAGCUUGUUGGUGGGGUAGUGGCUUACCAAGGCUUUGAAGGGUAGCCGGCCUGAGAGGGUGACCGGCCACGUUGGGACUGAGAUGCGGCCCAGACUCCUACGGGACGCAGCGGUGGGGAAGAUUGCACAAUGGGCGGGAGCCUGAUGCGGCAACGCCGCGUGCGGGAUGACGUGAUUCGGGUUGUAAACCGCUUUCGCCUGUGACGAAGCGUGAGUGACGGUAAUGGGUAAAGAAGCACCGGCUAACUACGUG
Molecule: ribosomal RNA, 468 nt
Filed under: uncultured bacterium
Lineage: Bacteria
Description: partial 16S ribosomal RNA
Rfam family: Bacterial small subunit ribosomal RNA
Source: RNAcentral